GCCUGACUGGCUCAGUCAGUACAGCAUGUGACUCUUGAUCUCGGAGUCAUGAGUUCAAGCCCCAUGUUGGGUA
Molecule: transfer RNA, 73 nt
Filed under: Ailuropoda melanoleuca (giant panda)
Lineage: Eukaryota; Metazoa; Chordata; Mammalia; Carnivora; Ursidae
Rfam family: tRNA
About the family: Transfer RNA (tRNA) molecules are approximately 80 nucleotides in length. Their secondary structure includes four short double-helical elements and three loops (D, anti-codon, and T loops).
Source: Rfam by way of RNAcentral